GUGCAUCUAUUUGUCAGACCUGAAGCAGUUAACUGUCUGCUUCUAAGGUUUCCAUUACAGAUGAAAGAAAAAAACGUUUCCUUGCACAUUCUGUUUGUCUUAUUUUGGCAGCCAAGAUUAAAUAUUAGAAAACAGAG
This 137-nucleotide small nucleolar RNA is filed under the name Mus spicilegus (steppe mouse). RNAcentral's name for it is "Small nucleolar RNA SNORA31 (ENSMSIG00000024305.1)". Lineage: Eukaryota; Metazoa; Chordata; Mammalia; Rodentia; Muridae. The record is from RNAcentral.